This 561-nucleotide ribosomal RNA is filed under the name Daphnia projecta. Its description in RNAcentral is "partial 12S ribosomal RNA". The stretch from base 193 to 561 matches the Rfam family "Microsporidia small subunit ribosomal RNA", at positions 752 to 1278 of the family's 1311-position model. Lineage: Eukaryota; Metazoa; Arthropoda; Branchiopoda; Diplostraca; Daphniidae. The record is from RNAcentral.
GGUUAGACGAAGAAUCUAAAUAGAAUAUUUUAUUAUUUUAAUUAACAGUGAUUAAUUUGAAGUGAAUUAUUUUCUUUUUUUAGGUGAAAUUUAUUUAAAGAUAUAAAAUAAUCUUUAAUUAAUUAAAGGAAUUAGUAAAUGAAGUUAAAAAACCAGGAUUAGAUACCCUGUUAUUCUUUACAACACUUAAUAGGGUAGUAAAAGUCAUUCUUCAAACCCAAAGAUUUUGGCGGCAUUCUAACCAAACAGAGGAGCUUGUCUUGUAAUCGAUAAUCCCCGUUUUAUCUUACCUUUAUUGGUUAAGCUUGUAUACCUCCGUUGUCAGAUUACUCUAAAAGGAUGUUUUCUAGAAAAAUUAUUUUUUUACUUCAGGUCAAGGUGCAGUUUAUAUAAAGGAAAUGAUGAGCUACAAUUUUUAUACAAAUACGGAUUUCAAAUUAAAAUUUGAUUGAAGGUGGAUUUGUUAGUAAGCUUUUUUUAGGAAAGAAAGCUGAAUUAGGCAAUAGAAUGUGCACAUAUCGCCCGUCACUCUCCUUCUAAGAGGAGAUAAGUCGUAACAAA